AUGAGUACUGCAGAUCCCCUCUUGGUCCUGAUCCCCUUCUACAGGGAGGUUUGUGUCUGGGCUCACACUGAGGUCGCCUCACAGUGUCCUUCACACAGUAAUACACGGCUGUGUCCUCGGCUCUCAGGCUGUUCAUUGCAGAUACAGCAUGUUCUUGGCGUUGUCUCUGGAGAUGGUGAAUCGGCCUUUCAUUGCGUCGGUGUAGCUUGUGCUACUUCCAUCAUAGCUAAUCCGUGCAACCCCCUGCAUCCCCUUCCCUGGAAUUUGGUGGGUCUAGUACAUGUAGUAGCUACUGCAGGUGAAUCCAGAGGCCACACAGGACAGUCUCAGGGACCCCCCAGGCUUCACCAGGUCUCCCCCAGACUCCACCAGCUACAGGAGAGUCUCAGGGACCCCCCAGGCUUCACCAGGUCUCCCCCAGACUCCACCAGCUGCACUUCACCCUGGACACCUGCAGAAACACAUCCUGGUCAGGAUACUGUCCCACAUCCCCAGUUUCUCUCACAUAUCUCCACUCACAGACUCAAUGUCUUUGGUUCUCUAUGAAUUACCUUUUAAAAUAGCAACAAGGAAAACCCAGCCGAGCACAGACUCCAUGGUGGUUUGUCUGCGUUGUGUCCUGAUCACUGAAUAGGGUCACCUGGGGAUCCUGAGGCUGGGACUGCUCUCCCGGCCACAGGGUCAGGACUGGGCUGGUUUAAUCAGUGGAGGGAGGUCCUUAUUUGCAUAUCCU
This 733-nucleotide long non-coding RNA is filed under the name Canis lupus familiaris (dog). Its description in RNAcentral is "lncRNA (ENSCAFG00030003380.1)". The record is from RNAcentral. Lineage: Eukaryota; Metazoa; Chordata; Mammalia; Carnivora; Canidae.